UACGGAGGGUGCAAGCGUUGUCCGGAAUUAUUGGGUUUAAAGGGUGCGUAGGCGGUCUUUUAAGUCCGAGUUGAAAUCCCAUGGCUCAACCAUGGAACUGGCUCGGAUACUGGAAGACUUGAAUACACUAGAGGUAUGCGGAAUUUAUGAUGUAGCGGUGAAAUGCAUAGAUAUCAUAAAGAACACCGAUAGCGAAGGCAGCAUACUGGGGUGUUAUUGACGCUGAGGCACGAAAGCGUGGGGAGCGAACAGG
Molecule: ribosomal RNA, 253 nt
Filed under: uncultured bacterium
Lineage: Bacteria
Description: partial 16S ribosomal RNA
Rfam family: Bacterial small subunit ribosomal RNA
Source: RNAcentral